This 1453-nucleotide ribosomal RNA is filed under the name Enterobacter sp. EU73. RNAcentral's name for it is "bacterial SSU rRNA". It matches the Rfam family "Bacterial small subunit ribosomal RNA". The record is from RNAcentral. Lineage: Bacteria; Pseudomonadati; Pseudomonadota; Gammaproteobacteria; Enterobacterales; Enterobacteriaceae.
GAGCCUACCAUGCAGUCGAGCGGUAGCACAGGGAGCUUGCUCUUGGGUGACGAGCGGCGGACGGGUGAGUAAUGUCUGGGAAACUGCCUGAUGGAGGGGGAUAACUACUGGAAACGGUAGCUAAUACCGCAUAACGUCGCAAGACCAAAGAGGGGGACCUUCGGGCCUCUUGCCAUCAGAUGUGCCCAGAUGGGAUUAGCUAGUAGGUGGGGUAACGGCUCACCUAGGCGACGAUCCCUAGCUGGUCUGAGAGGAUGACCAGCCACACUGGAACUGAGACACGGUCCAGACUCCUACGGGAGGCAGCAGUGGGGAAUAUUGCACAAUGGGCGCAAGCCUGAUGCAGCCAUGCCGCGUGUAUGAAGAAGGCCUUCGGGUUGUAAAGUACUUUCAGCGGGGAGGAAGGCGUUAAGGUUAAUAACCUUGUCGAUUGACGUUACCCGCAGAAGAAGCACCGGCUAACUCCGUGCCAGCAGCCGCGGUAAUACGGAGGGUGCAAGCGNUAAUCGGAAUUACUGGGCGUAAAGCGCACGCAGGCGGUCUGUCAAGUCGGAUGUGAAAUCCCCGGGCUCAACCUGGGAACUGCAUUCGAAACUGGCAGGCUAGAGUCUUGUAGAGGGGGGUAGAAUUCCAGGUGUAGCGGUGAAAUGCGUAGAGAUCUGGAGGAAUACCGGUGGCGAAGGCGGCCCCCUGGACAAAGACUGACGCUCAGGUGCGAAAGCGUGGGGAGCAAACAGGAUUAGAUACCCUGGUAGUCCACGCCGUAAACGAUGUCGACUUGGAGGUUGUGCCCUUGAGGAGUGGCUUCCGGAGCUAACGCGUUAAGUCGACCGCCUGGGGAGUACGGCCGCAAGGUUAAAACUCAAAUGAAUUGACGGGGGCCCGCACAAGCGGUGGAGCAUGUGGUUUAAUUCGAUGCAACGCGAAGAACCUUACCUACUCUUGACAUCCAGAGAACUUAGCAGAGAUGCUUUGGUGCCUUCGGGAACUCUGAGACAGGUGCUGCAUGGCUGUCGUCAGCUCGUGUUGUGAAAUGUUGGGUUAAGUCCCGCAACGAGCGCAACCCUUAUCCUUUGUUGCCAGCGGUUAGGCCGGGAACUCAAAGGAGACUGCCAGUGAUAAACUGGAGGAAGGUGGGGAUGACGUCAAGUCAUCAUGGCCCUUACGAGUAGGGCUACACACGUGCUACAAUGGCGCAUACAAAGAGAAGCGACCUCGCGAGAGCAAGCGGACCUCAUAAAGUGCGUCGUAGUCCGGAUUGGAGUCUGCAACUCGACUCCAUGAAGUCGGAAUCGCUAGUAAUCGUAGAUCAGAAUGCUACGGUGAAUACGUUCCCGGGCCUUGUACACACCGCCCGUCACACCAUGGGAGUGGGUUGCAAAAGAAGUAGGUAGCUUAACCUUCGGGAGGGCGCUUACCACUUUGUGAUUCAUGACUGGGGGAAGUCGAAGCA